Molecule: ribosomal RNA, 460 nt
Filed under: uncultured bacterium
Lineage: Bacteria
Description: partial 16S ribosomal RNA
Rfam family: Bacterial small subunit ribosomal RNA
Source: RNAcentral
CCUACGGGUGGCAGCAGUGAGGAAUAUUGGUCAAUGGGCGCAAGCCUGAACCAGCCAAGUCGCGUGAGGGAUGACGGUCCUAUGGAUUGUAAACCUCUUUUGUCGGGGAGCAAGGCCCGCCACGUGUGGCGGGAAGGAGAGUACCCGAAGAAAAAGCAUCGGCUAACUCCGUGCCAGCAGCCGCGGUAAUACGGAGGAUGCGAGCGUUAUCCGGAUUUAUUGGGUUUAAAGGGUGCGUAGGCGGUCCGUUACGUCAGCGGUAAAAUUGCGGGGCUCAACCACGUCGAGCCGUUGAAACUGGCAGACUGGAGUUGGCGAGAAGUACGCGGAAUGCGCGGUGUAGCGGUGAAAUGCGUAGAUAGUAGGAGGAACACCAGUGGCGAAGGCGGCUUACUGGACAGUAACUGACGUUGAGGCUCGAAAGCGUGGGGAGCAAACAGGAUUAGAUACCCGUGUAGUC